GAUGAACGCUGGCGGCGUGCCUAAUACAUGCAAGUCGAGCGAACAGACGAGGAGCUUGCUCCUCUGACGUUAGCGGCGGACGGGUGAGUAACACGUGGAUAACCUACCUAUAGACUGGGAUAACUUCGGGAAACCGGAGCUAAUACCGGAUAAUAUAUUUAACCGCAUGGUUCAAUAGUGAAAGACGGUUUUGCUGUCACUUAUAGGUGGAUCCGCGCCGCAUUAGCUAGUUGGUAAGGUAACGGCUUACCAAGGCAACGAUGCGUAGCCGACCUGAGAGGGUGAUCGGCCACACUGGAACUGAGACACGGUCCAGACUCCUACGGGAGGCAGCAGUAGGGAAUCUUCCGCAAUGGGCGAAAGCCUGACGGAGCAACGCCGCGUGAGUGAUGAAGGUCUUCGGAUCGUAAAACUCUGUUAUUAGGGAAGAACAAAUGUGUAAGUAACUAUGCACGUCUUGACGGUACCUAAUCAGAAAGCCACGGCUAACUACGUG
This 496-nucleotide ribosomal RNA is filed under the name uncultured bacterium. RNAcentral describes it as "partial 16S ribosomal RNA". It matches the Rfam family "Bacterial small subunit ribosomal RNA", at positions 28 to 507 of the family's 1533-position model. The record is from RNAcentral.